UACGGAGGGGACUAGCGUUGUUCGGAAUUGCUGGGCGUAAAGCGCACGUAGGCGGAUUUGUAAGUCAGGGGUGAAAUCCCGGGGCUCAACCUCGGAACUGCCUUUGAUACUGCAAAUCUCGAGUCCGGAAGAGGUGAGUGGAAUUCCCAGUGUAGCGGUGAAAUGCGUAGAUAUUGGGAGGAACACCGGUGGCGAAGGCGGCCCCCUGGGCUGGUACUGACGCUGAUGCGCGAAAGCGUGGGUAGCAAACGGG
RNAcentral lists this ribosomal RNA (253 nucleotides) under uncultured bacterium. Its description in RNAcentral is "partial 16S ribosomal RNA". It matches the Rfam family "Bacterial small subunit ribosomal RNA", at positions 524 to 776 of the family's 1533-position model. The record is from RNAcentral.